This is a long non-coding RNA of Bombus huntii, 789 nucleotides long. RefSeq lists it as uncharacterized. The transcript has 2 exons. NCBI's taxonomy places the organism in Eukaryota, Metazoa, Arthropoda, Insecta, Hymenoptera, Apidae. The record is from RefSeq and is a predicted model, not a curated record.
AACUUUUAAAAUGUAUCAUAAGUAAUUUAUAUGUUAUUAAUAAAACAAUAUAUUUAAAACGUAACAUAACUUUUUAUUAAAGUAUAAGAAUUUCUAGAUAUUUUAUUUCUUUUAAAGAUGUAUAUCUAGUUCUUUAUUUUCAUUACGAUUUUACAUUCACAUGUGCAAGUAUAUAUCCCUUUUUAAAGUUAAAAAUACCUGCGUAUCUUGUAUUUUUAUGCUUAUUUUUCUGAUUUGUCAUGAGAUAUAACGAAUUAUGUAAUUAUUUUUCAUUGCCAUAUUUCUUGAUAUAUGCUGUAUUGUAAUCAAAUAUAAAUUACGUCAAUUUUUAUGUUUCAUAUCCUAGUUCUUCAUCUAACAGAGCAACUAAAAAAAAUUAAAUGAAAAAUUGUACUUUACAUUUUACUAUUACGAAAGAACAAAAUAAAGAUUAUUUAUGGUUUGAUUUCCAUAUACGAAAAAGUCUCCGUGAUAUAAAGCUUUUCCGAAGGUGUGAUAUCUACUUAAGCUAUACGAUACCAAAGAUUAAUAUUCUAUCAAUAUUUGAUAAUGUCUAUUGAGAUAACGAUUGAUUGUAUACAAGAUUUUUAAUUUCGAUUUUAAACGGUAACUGUAUACCAGGAGUUUCUUACUUUGUAUUUCAUAAGAUCACACUAAAUUGUAUAACAAUGUACGUGUACGAUACUACAUAAUGUGCAAAGUCACAGAAUGACGCAGCUAUAUUUAGCGUACUGAUAUAAAAGAUAAUAACGCAAUGUAUGUGUAAAUACACUUCUACUAAUCGCUUGA